CCUACGGGGGGCAGCAGUGAGGAAUAGUGGUCAAUGGACGGAAGUCUGAACCAGCCAUGCCGCGUGCAGGAAGACGGCUCUAUGAGUUGUAAACUGCUUUUGUACAAGGGUAAACCUGAAUACGGGUAUGCAGCUGAAAGGACGGUACGAAUAAGGAUCGGCUAACUCCGUGCCAGCAGCCGCGGUAAGACGGAGGAUCCAAGCGUUAUCCGGAUUUAUUGGGUUUAAAGGGUGCGUAGGCGGAUUGAUAAGUUAGAGGUGAAAUGUCCGAGCUUAACUCGUGAACUGCCUCUCAUACUGUUGAUCUAGAGCGUAGCUGCGGUAGGCGGAAUGUCUGGUGUAGCGG
Molecule: ribosomal RNA, 346 nt
Filed under: uncultured bacterium
Lineage: Bacteria
Description: partial 16S ribosomal RNA
Rfam family: Bacterial small subunit ribosomal RNA
Source: RNAcentral